CCUACGGGGGGCAGCAGUGGGGAAUAUUGGACAAUGGGGGGAACCCUGAUCCAGCCAUGCCGCGUGUGUGAAGAAGGCCCUCGGGUUGUAAAGCACUUUCAGUGAGGAAGAACGCCUGGUGGUGAAUACCCAUCAGGAAAGACAUCACUCACAGAAGAAGCACCGGCUAACUCCGUGCCAGCAGCCGCGGUAAUACGGAGGGUGCGAGCGUUAAUCGGAAUUACUGGGCGUAAAGCGCGCGUAGGUGGCUUGAUAAGCCGGUUGUGAAAGCCCCGGGCUCAACCUGGGAACGGCAUCCGGAACUGUCAAGCUAGAGUGCAGGAGAGGAAGGUAGAAUUCGCGGUGUAGCGGUGAAAUGCGUAGAGAUCGGGAGGAAUACCAGUGGCGAAGGCGGCCUUCUGGACUGACACUGACACUGAGGUGCGAAAGCGUGGGUAGCAAACAGGAUUAGAUACCCUGGUAGUC
RNAcentral lists this ribosomal RNA (465 nucleotides) under Vreelandella stevensii. Its description in RNAcentral is "partial 16S ribosomal RNA". It matches the Rfam family "Bacterial small subunit ribosomal RNA", at positions 338 to 795 of the family's 1533-position model. Lineage: Bacteria; Pseudomonadati; Pseudomonadota; Gammaproteobacteria; Oceanospirillales; Halomonadaceae. The record is from RNAcentral.